GUGGGGAAUUUUCGGCAAUGGGCGCAAGCCUGACCGAGCAACGCCGCGUGAACGAAGAAGUUAUUCGUAAUGUAAAGUUCUUUUAUCUGGGAAGAAAAAACAAAUUGACGGUACCAGAUGAAUAAGCUCCGGCUAACUACGUGCCAGCAGCCGCGGUAAUACGUAGGGAGCGAGCGUUAUCCGGAAUUAUUGGGCGUAAAGGGUGCGCAGAUGGCACAUUAAGUUUCUUGUAAAAAUGCUAGGCUCAACCUAGUAGGGCAAGAGAUACUGAUGAGCUAGAGUACAAAAGAGGCAAGUGGAAUUCCAUGUGUAGCGGUAAAAUGCGUAAAUAUAUGGCAGAACACCAGUGGCGAAGGCGGCUUGCUAGUUUGAUACUGACAUUGAGGCACGAAAGCGUGGGGAGCAAACAGG
RNAcentral lists this ribosomal RNA (411 nucleotides) under uncultured rumen bacterium. Its description in RNAcentral is "bacterial SSU rRNA". It matches the Rfam family "Bacterial small subunit ribosomal RNA", at positions 354 to 776 of the family's 1533-position model. The record is from RNAcentral.